GCGGUCGUGGUCUAGUGUCCAUGACGUCUGCUUAACACGCAGAAGUUCCCGAGUUCGAUCCUCGGCGUCCGUU
Molecule: transfer RNA, 73 nt
Filed under: Gregarina niphandrodes
Lineage: Eukaryota; Apicomplexa; Conoidasida; Eugregarinorida; Gregarinidae
Description: tRNA-Val
Source: RNAcentral